This 333-nucleotide ribosomal RNA is filed under the name uncultured bacterium. Its description in RNAcentral is "partial 16S ribosomal RNA". It matches the Rfam family "Bacterial small subunit ribosomal RNA", at positions 338 to 668 of the family's 1533-position model. The record is from RNAcentral.
CCUACGGGUGGCAGCAGUGAGGAAUAUUGGUCAAUGGACGAGAGUCUGAACCAGCAAAGUAGCGUGAAGGAUGACUGCUCUAUGGGUUGUAAACUUCUUUUAUAAAGGAAUAAAACGUGGCACGUGUGCCUUUUUGCAUGUACUUUAUGAAUGAGGAUCGGCUAACUCCGUUCCAGCAGCCGCGGUAAUACGGAGGAUCCGAGCGUUAUCCGGAUUUAUUGGGUUUAAAGGGAGCGUAGAUGGGUUGUUAAGUCAGUUGUGAAAGUUUGGGGCUCAACCGUAACAUUGCAAUUGAUACUGGCGGUCUUGAGUACAGUGGAGGAAGGCGGAAUU